Long non-coding RNA from Ailuropoda melanoleuca (giant panda), 1456 nucleotides. RefSeq lists it as uncharacterized. The transcript has 3 exons. NCBI's taxonomy places the organism in Eukaryota, Metazoa, Chordata, Mammalia, Carnivora, Ursidae. The record is from RefSeq and is a predicted model, not a curated record.
CGGUGACGCCUGUUUGGAGGCUUUGAGUUCGGAGAACUACGACUCCCACAAGGCUGCGCGCGGCGGGCCCCUCAGCUGGAGGUAUUUCCUCGCCCGGGACAGUGGACCUCGUUCCUCAGCUCCAGUGGGCGCAAGUCUCCGGGACUGAGUGGCCAAUGUAGUAGGAGUGAAUCUGCCAGUUUCCCUGGCAGCUUAAAUAAGACAUCUGGAGUGCCAGACAGCACUGCUUCAGAAACCGUGUGAUGAAAUGUAAUCCCGGUGGUUGGAGAGAGCUGUUCUCCACAGUUCAGCAGAAACAUGGUACAACUUUCGUGCUGAAGGGUCCUGAGCCCUGGGAGUUUGCCACAUCGGAGCAGCUUCAAGGCAAUGGAACGUUGGCAUCUAGGUGUCAGUACCUUUGGCGGUAAUCGACAGGCCACCCUAGGCUACACCCUGCACUGUGGCAGCCUCAGCAUAGAUUUGUCAAGCAUAUGAGCAGCAUCUUUGACCUGCAUGAGCGAUAGCAGCAGCUUGUCUGGACAGGACACAUAUGCAUGGUCGGGGUGACUGUGCUGGGGAUGUCUCAGCAGCAGAUCUCUGCAGGAAGCCAGAGCGGGGCAUCACCGAAUUGGAAGGAAGCAAAACUGGAGAAAGGGUCCAUUAGGAAGCUGUUGCAGCAUCCUGGGUGUGAGUUAACAGGAGAGAGAGGGAGGAAGGAGUCGAGGGUGACUCUUAUGUUCCUGGCGUGGGCAGCUUGCUGAGGAUGUUAUUUACUUGGAAGGAGGUUGAGUGGAAGUUACCAAGGUAAUUUUGAAUAUAUAUGUUAUGAGUAACCUGUGAGGCAUCUAAGUAGAAAUGCAUUCUGCACAAUUGACUAUGUGGGUCUGGAGCUCAAAAUAAGUUGGACUAGGAAUGUAUACAUGGGACUCCUCUGCACAUAGCUAUUAAUUGAAACAACAGGCAUGGGUAAGAUUCAUGGGGUGAGUGGGGAGAGUGGGGAGAGAGAAAUCGGGGGCUUGGACAGGACUCUAGGAGCCCACCAUUUAAGGGAAGGGCAGAGGGAGGGAAGCCUGAGAAGGAGAGUGGGAAGGAGCAGCACAGAGAUGGGAAGAAAAGAGAUAUCAAGGAAGCCAAGAGAAGAAAUGUUCCAAGAUGGAAAUAGACAGCAGUGUCAGAGGGAACUGAGAGGUCAAAUAAUGUACAGACUGAGUGUCCAUUGGAUUUAACAACAGAGUAAUUUGGGGUCAUUUUAAUGAGAGCAGUUUCAGGGAAAUAGUGGGGUGGAAAUUAAAUAGAAGUGGGCAGCAAAUGGGCAGUCUGUAGACAUCUUCAAAAAGCUUAGCUGAGAAGAGGAGGUGAAUGAGUAUAGUAGCUGGAGGUGUUUGGUUCACGAAAUUAAGGGGAAAUUGUCUUGACGAUGGGAGAAGUUUGUACAGUUGACUCUUGAACAACACGGGUGUGCACUUACACGUGAAUU